GAUGAACGCUGGCGGCGUGCUUAACACAUGCAAGUCGAACGGAAAGGCCCAAGCUUGCUUGGGUACUCGAGUGGCGAACGGGUGAGUAACACGUGGGUGAUCUGCCCUGCACUUCGGGAUAAGCCUGGGAAACUGGGUCUAAUACUGGAUAGGACCACUUCUUGGAUGUUGUGGUGGACAGUUUUUUCGGUGUGGGAUGAGCUCGCGGCCUAUCAGCUUGUUGGUGGGGUAAUGGCCUACCAAGGCGUCGACGGGUAGCCGGCCUGAGAGGGUGUACGGCCACAUUGGGACUGAGAUACGGCCCAGACUCCUACGGGAGGCAGCAGUGGGGAAUAUUGCACAAUGGGCGCAAGCCUGAUGCAGCGACGCCGCGUGGGGGAUGACGGCCUUCGGGUUGUAAACUCCUUUCGCUAGGGACGAAGCGUUUUGUGACGGUACCUGGAGAAGAAGCACCGGCUAACUACGUG
Molecule: ribosomal RNA, 467 nt
Filed under: uncultured bacterium
Lineage: Bacteria
Description: partial 16S ribosomal RNA
Rfam family: Bacterial small subunit ribosomal RNA
Source: RNAcentral